AUUUUUUGUAUUAUUAUUAUUAUUAUUAUUAUUAUUAUUAUAAGUAUAUUUUUUAGGUUUAUGUUUAAAACAAUAAAAAAUGGCCAGUGGCAUUAAGUUUAUUUAAAAAAAUCAAUGUUAUUCAAGUAUAUUAUGCAAUUUUUCCUUCACAGCUAAAUUUUAUUCGUUUUAAAUGUGUAAAUGUUUGAAAAAAAGGACAAAAAUACUGAUAAGCAAACUUUUUAUGUAGAAAUACAGCUCGCUUCUCUCAGCUCAACACAUGGUCGACUUUAACCCAGCUGGUCUAUAUUUUGAUGUAUUUCAUCACACACCUCUUCUACAGCAGUGUCUUUUUCAUUAAUGGAUAAGUUAGAGAGCAAUGGAAGAACAGUUUUCUGUGGUUGUGCUGAGGACCUGUCAUAGGCUGAUGGGGGGUUGACGUCCGCCACGACAGAUCAAAAGGACCACGCUUGGCCCCUGUGGUUUUACCGAAGCCAUAUGGUCUUUGCCAAUUCAGUUCACUCCUUUUAAUUUUAUUCUGAUUUCUUUUUUUCUCUCCAUCUCUCCACCCUUGCUACUCACACACUCCCAUCCCUGUGUCGAAAGCUUCGGAUUUCCCAGAAUAAGCUGUCUGGUGAACAGCAGACAUGUGCUGAAUGGGCUUCCUCUAGCAUGCUUCACCUUAAAGAUCGAACUUUGUAAUUAAUAUUUUCUGCCCUCUUGCAAACAGACCUCGUUCCAUUCAGUCUCCGAAUUGUGCCGAGCAUCUGUUCACAAACACGCGAGGUUGUUUUUCUACAUAGUUCUCGAUGAUCACAGGUUACAUGCCUAUUGAAAAAGAUACGGUAGUUGCUAAUGCUUAGAUUCAUUGUUCAUAAAUCAGCUGCAAUGUUGCUACAGCUGCGGUAGUCUGUUUUGAGUUUUCAAGACAAAAAUCUUUUUUUGUUCAAUGGAUUGAGCUGCUUCUCAUCUAGAUCUUAACAGUGCAGUUAUUUGUAUCACAAAUUAUUGUAAAGAAAGUCUUUGAAUCAUGUUAAAAAAGAGUUUACCUCACUGUAAAAGAAUUUGGAGGACAAAACUCAACAUUUUAUGUUCAUUGUUGCAAUUAAAACUCAACUAAAGUUCCAACUGAACUUUACAGUGCAUUUUAACCCCAGUAUUUUUAUUUUAAAUGCCUUAUUUUUCCUAAUUUCACCCAGAAAGUUUCAACACACACAAAAAAAUAUUUUUUAUUUAUUAUUAUUAGUUUUAUUUUUAAGUUCUGACUUGGUUAAAACGUUAAAUACUACAUUUCUUCCUUUUUGAAUACAUUUACAAGCAUAGUGCCUUUGGCCGUACAUAAAAGCAUCAGAUAUUUAUUCUUUCACCAUUUAAUGACAUGCUUUUCUGUUCUGUAUUCCCAAAGUGUUAUUUGUGUUCCUGUUAUUACUGUAUUUUUUGGAUUUCUGGAUCUUUAACAAGAUGACGCUUGUUGCAAGUUCAAAAUCACAGGCAAUGGUGCAAACUCACUGGAAACUUACAGCAGUAGCACUUGCAAGUGUUAUGGUGGACAGUUGCAGUAUAUAUUAUUAUUAUUUUUUGUACAUAUUCUGGCAGGAGAUAUUUGUCUAUGGAAUAAACAUAUUUUUAUAUGAGGCCAGAACAUUAAGCAGAGAAUGUGCUUAGUUAACGUGCUUUUUAUCUUCUCAUGUUCAUUUUUUUAUAUUUAGUUCUCAGGAGUUUAUUUUGUACAUAUUAGAGUUAUACGAAUGAUUGAUGACUUGUAAAUCAUUUUGGAAAUGAGGGACAG
This is a long non-coding RNA of Cyprinus carpio carpio, 1768 nucleotides long. The record is from Ensembl. Lineage: Eukaryota; Metazoa; Chordata; Actinopteri; Cypriniformes; Cyprinidae.